Molecule: ribosomal RNA, 468 nt
Filed under: uncultured bacterium
Lineage: Bacteria
Description: partial 16S ribosomal RNA
Rfam family: Bacterial small subunit ribosomal RNA
Source: RNAcentral
GACGAACGCUGGCGGCGUGCUUAACACAUGCAAGUCGAACGGAAAGGCCCUGCUUUUGUGGGGUGCUCGAGUGGCGAACGGGUGAGUAACACGUGAGUAACCUGCCCUUGACUUUGGGAUAACUUCAGGAAACUGGGGCUAAUACCGGAUAGGAGCUCCUGCUGCAUGGUGGGGGUUGGAAAGUUUCGGCGGUUGGGGAUGGACUCGCGGCUUAUCAGCUUGUUGGUGAGGUAGUGGCUUACCAAGUCUUUGACGGGUAGCCGGCCUAAGAGGGUGACCGGCCACAUUGGGACUAAGAUAGGGACCAGACUGCUACGGGAGGCAGCGGUCGGGAAUAUUGCACAGUGGGCGGAAGCCUGAUACAGCAACGCCGCGUGCGGGAUGACGGCCUUCGGGUUGUAAACCGCUUUCGCCUGUGACGAAGCGUGAGUGACGGUAAUGGGUAAAGAAGCACCGGCUAACUACGUG